Molecule: ribosomal RNA, 252 nt
Filed under: uncultured bacterium
Lineage: Bacteria
Description: partial 16S ribosomal RNA
Rfam family: Bacterial small subunit ribosomal RNA
Source: RNAcentral
UACAGAGGGUGCGAGCGUUGUCCGGAAUCACUGGGCGUAAAGGGCGCGUAGGUGGUGGCUUAAGCGUGCGGUGAAAGCUCGGGCUCAACUCCGAGUCGGCCGUGCGAACUGGGCUCACUGGAGCAUAGUAGAGGCAGGUGGAAUUCCGGGUGUAGCGGUGGAAUGCGUAGAGAUCCGGAAGAACACCAGUGGCGAAGGCGGCUCACUGGCCCGUAACUGACGCUGAGGCACGAAAGCGUGGGAGCAAACAGG